RNAcentral lists this ribosomal RNA (682 nucleotides) under Vibrio sp. a51. RNAcentral describes it as "bacterial SSU rRNA". It matches the Rfam family "Bacterial small subunit ribosomal RNA", at positions 312 to 987 of the family's 1533-position model. Lineage: Bacteria; Pseudomonadati; Pseudomonadota; Gammaproteobacteria; Vibrionales; Vibrionaceae. The record is from RNAcentral.
ACUGGACUGAGACACGGUCCAGACUCCUACGGGAGGCAGCAGUGGGGAAUAUUGCACAAUGGGCGCAAGCCUGAUGCAGCCAUGCCGCGUGUAUGAAGAAGGCCUUCGGGUUGUAAAGUACUUUCAGCAGUGAGGAAGGUGUUGUAGUUAAUAACUGCAUCAUUUGACGUUAGCUGCAGAAGAAGCACCGGCUAACUCCGUGCCAGCAGCCGCGGUAAUACGGAGGGUGCGAGCGUUAAUCGGAAUUACUGGGCGUAAAGCGCAUGCAGGUGGAUGAUUAAGUCAGAUGUGAAAGCCCGGGGCUCAACCUCGGAAUUGCAUUUGAAACUGGUUAUCUAGAGUACUGUAGAGGGGGGUAGAAUUUCAGGUGUAGCGGUGAAAUGCGUAGAGAUCUGAAGGAAUACCGGUGGCGAAGGCGGCCCCCUGGACAGAUACUGACACUCAGAUGCGAAAGCGUGGGGAGCAAACAGGAUUAGAUACCCUGGUAGUCCACGCCGUAAACGAUGUCUACUUGGAGGUUGUGGCCUUGAGCCGUGGCUUUCGGAGCUAACGCGUUAAGUAGACCGCCUGGGGAGUACGGUCGCAAGAUUAAAACUCAAAUGAAUUGACGGGGGCCCGCACAAGCGGUGGAGCAUGUGGUUUAAUUCGAUGCAACGCGAAGAACCUUACCUACUCUUGACAU